AAAAGAACUUUGGAAAGAGAGUCAAAUAGUGCGUGAAACCGUUGGGAGGGAAGCGAAUGAGGCCGGCUCGGUCCUCUGUGGGAACAGGCGGAUCGAUGAGCGCCCUCUGGCGGAGGGAUCCCCCCGGGGACCCGUCGCCGGUGGGACCGCUCGUCGCUCUCGACCGCACUCCCGCGUGGACCAGUCAGCGGCAGUUUCGGCUGCGCCGUGCGCCCCGCCGGGCAGUUGGCCGAGUCCUUCGGGUCUCGGUGCUGGCCCGUGGGGCGCGACGCGACUGAGACUGAGGAGAGUGGCGGCCCUCGCCCGAGCAGCGCAAGCCACAGGGCCGGACGGCUGCGACGACUGCGUCGGACCGGUGGGGACUGCGUGCAGUGCCCGCUGAGCGAGACGGAGGCGUCGCGGUGCAGUCACGAUGUGCGCUGAGGUCGCUGGCGCCUAGCCGGUCCCAUCCGACCCGUC
This 459-nucleotide small RNA is filed under the name Pseudoceratina sp. GW33467. RNAcentral describes it as "partial large subunit ribosomal RNA". The record is from RNAcentral. Lineage: Eukaryota; Metazoa; Porifera; Demospongiae; Verongiida; Pseudoceratinidae.